This 444-nucleotide long non-coding RNA is filed under the name Vitis vinifera (wine grape). Its description in RNAcentral is "long non-coding RNA (VVIN_LNC005496)". The record is from RNAcentral. Lineage: Eukaryota; Viridiplantae; Streptophyta; Magnoliopsida; Vitales; Vitaceae.
UACCGGAUCCGGGUCUGCCACCAAACCCACCCUCUCCUUCCCUCGCACGCUUCGCCCCAAUGGCAACACCGAACAAUCGAGGAGUCAUUUCUUCCUCUAUCAUCAUCUCGCUGGAGAACUGCUUCUCCGGGAACCGAUUCAGAGGUUUGUCCGUUUGCGAAACAUUUCCGAAAAUAUUGUUAGUAUAGUUUGACGAUAUCAGAGCGAAGAUGUUGUUGCAAAGAGUCUUCAUCCGGUUAAGUUCUCGAUUAAGCUCCACGUUCUCUUUCCUUAAUCUUUCAUUUUCAUCUAUCAGUCCGGCAGUAUUACUGGUGGCAUGUGGUGUGGUCGUGGUCGCCGGGGGCGAGUUCGACGAGAUCAAUCGUUCGUCAGCACAAUUUGACGACGAUACCGGCGAGAUCGGGGCCGUCGAAGAGAUUCUCCGCCGUUGUAUGUCGCAUAAAA